This is a long non-coding RNA of Drosophila mojavensis, 671 nucleotides long. RefSeq lists it as uncharacterized. The transcript has 2 exons. The record is from RefSeq and is a predicted model, not a curated record. Lineage: Eukaryota; Metazoa; Arthropoda; Insecta; Diptera; Drosophilidae.
AACAAAACAAAAAUUGCCAGAAAUCUUGUUAAAAUUGAAAAACACGCAAAGAAAUGGCCCAGACAAACAUUUCAAUGGAACCAAAGGCCGACUUAGUUAUCAAUAAAAAUUGUCGUGUAAAGAAUAUGAUGAUAUGUAUUUAUAUAAGACUGCGACAUAUUGCGCCACAGAAUCGUUAUACCCUAUCAGAAGAGCAUUAAUGCUUGCAGACUUAACUGCCGACGCGUUAAAAGAAGGGCUUUAAGCAAAAGCUACAUACAUAUAUAGUAUUUAUAUAUACAUAUAUACAUAUAUACAUAUAUAUUAUAAAUAUAAAUAUGUAUGCCUAAAAGAACCAGCGAAAGAGUGGCCAAAAAACGCGCCGAAAAAUGAGUUUUAAUAUAAUAAAAUUUGUACAAUAUACAAAAGUUGAAGCAUGAAAAGAACAAAGCGCAUUAAGCUCGCAGUCAAGUUAAGAGCCAAAGACUUUGCCUCAGUCUACGCCUCGGUCUCAGCCUCAGCCACAGCCUCAGCAUCCAUCUCUCUUCUCUUGUUCUUCUCAGCUCCAGAUCGUAGACGGUCCAUGGCAUGAGUCAAUAUAUAUGUAUAUACUAUAUUGUAUCUGAGGGUUAUUAAUGUUUCGCUGUACAAGAAAAUUAUAUGGCCGCAGGGCAAGUCGAGGCACAUGAACA